UACGUAGGGGGCAAGCGUUGUCCGGAAUUAUUGGGCGUAAAGCGCGCGUAGGCGGCCCUUUAAGUCUCGUGUUUAAACCCGGAGCUCAACUUCGGGUCGCACGGGAAACUGGGGGGCUUGAGUGCAGGAGAGGGAAGCGGAAUUCCACGUGUAGCGGUGAAAUGCGUAGAGAUGUGGAGGAACACCAGUGGCGAAGGCGGCUUCCUGGUCUGUAACUGACGCUGAGGCGCGAAAGCGUGGGGAGCAAACAGG
This 252-nucleotide ribosomal RNA is filed under the name uncultured bacterium. RNAcentral's name for it is "partial 16S ribosomal RNA". It matches the Rfam family "Bacterial small subunit ribosomal RNA", at positions 524 to 776 of the family's 1533-position model. RNAcentral also lists the same sequence under 1 other name. The record is from RNAcentral.